Molecule: ribosomal RNA, 253 nt
Filed under: uncultured bacterium
Lineage: Bacteria
Description: partial 16S ribosomal RNA
Rfam family: Bacterial small subunit ribosomal RNA
Source: RNAcentral
UACGAGGGGGGCAAGCGUUGUUCGGAAUUAUUGGGCGUAAAGCGCGCGUAGGCGGCUCGGAAAGUCGGUCGUGAAAUGCCGGGGCUCAACCCCGGGACUGCGUCCGAUACUCCCGAGCUGGAGGCAGGUAGGGGAGAUCGGAAUUCCUGGUGUAGCGGUGAAAUGCGCAGAUAUCAGGAGGAACACCGGUGGCGAAGGCGGAUCUCUGGGCCAUUACUGACGCUGAGGAGCGAAAGCGUGGGGAGCGAACAGG